This is a small nucleolar RNA of Acomys russatus (golden spiny mouse), 132 nucleotides long. RefSeq annotates it as small nucleolar RNA SNORA17. Lineage: Eukaryota; Metazoa; Chordata; Mammalia; Rodentia; Muridae. The record is from RefSeq and is a predicted model, not a curated record. The transcript has a single exon.
CCUGCUCCUAGAGGCAUUGCAGUUGUGACUGCUGUGUCACGUGUGUGUUGGUAGGCAACAGAGAGCAGAGAGGCUAUGUCUAUGCUCAGUAUUCUGACCUAUGAACAUCUGGAUGAUUAGUAGCUUAAUAGU